Molecule: ribosomal RNA, 303 nt
Filed under: uncultured bacterium
Lineage: Bacteria
Description: partial 16S ribosomal RNA
Rfam family: Bacterial small subunit ribosomal RNA
Source: RNAcentral
AGCAGUCGCCGCGGUAACACAGAGGGUGCGAGCGUUAAUCGGAUUUACUGGGCGUAAAGCGUGCGUAGGCGGCUUCUUAAGUCGGAUGUGAAAUCCCUGAGCUUAACUUAGGAAUUGCAUUCGAUACUGGGAAGCUAGAGUAUGGGAGAGGAUGGUAGAAUUCCAGGUGUAGCGGUGAAAUGCGUAGAGAUCUGGAGGAAUACCGAUGGCGAAGGCAGCCAUCUGGCCUAAUACUGACGCUGAGGUACGAAAGCAUGGGGAGCAAACAGGAUUAGAGACCCCCGUAGUCCCUGUCUCUUAUAA